Molecule: RNA transcript, 7960 nt
Organism: Oryzias latipes (Japanese medaka)
Lineage: Eukaryota; Metazoa; Chordata; Actinopteri; Beloniformes; Adrianichthyidae
Gene: tgfbr3
Gene name: transforming growth factor, beta receptor III
Source: RefSeq, a predicted model, not a curated record
UUAUUUAGAAGUACAAAUAACAUUGGUUUUGAUCACAUUAACUAACAAAUAUGUUCUGCUUGUUUUGGACCUUGAGGCUCUCAGUCAAGGGGCCACAAGUUUGCUAACGUAAUUCAGCCAGCAAAAUCAAGAAAUCACAAUUCUUAGAAAGUGCUGGGAUCCAGAUAUUAUUGAUUAUAGGAAAGGAGCCUGGAAAUUUGAAUGCUGCUGCUGCAUUUGGCACACAGGCUGGAAUUUGGACAUGUCUGCUCCGAGCAUCAUAGUCAAGUUUAACAAAUAAAACUAUUUUUCACAUUUUGUUAUAUUUUCUGAAGCACAUUCAAAAUAAAAUAAUACACAAAAUAACAAAAAUGUAUUCCCCAAACCCCUGGACAACCAUUUAAUACCUUUAGGACUACAUGAAAUAGUUCUCUGUUUGUCAAAUGAUAUGAAAUAAACAAGUGAAAGAAAACUGGAGCAUGCACACCGCUAAAAUGUCAGUCUGACACCCCCCCACACACAGUAGUACGAGUAAUCCGUGUCAGAAAGACAGUGCGGUUUCCAUGCGGGGGUUUGAAGCUGCGUUCCACUUUGGGACGGUCUACACGAGCCCUACUCGCGCGCGCUCCCCUCCUACCCUCCAAGCCCCGCCCCUACCCGAGAAGCUCUCAGUAAAAAGUCCGUCAGUCUGUCAGACAGGAUUAAAACGCAGAAAAAAAUCAGUCUGUCUACCCCUUCGUCUUGUCUGUGCAGGUCUUCAGCCAGACGUUUGUGUAUCUCCGAGAAGAAGGACCUUUAUUUUCCCAGCUGCGACUACAGCAAGAGUUUGAGCUUUUUCCCCAGACUGCCUGGUGUUGGAGCUUGAAGGCGGCUUUCCUGGAAACCCAUUCAAAGGGAGGCAACCUUUGAGGGAAAACAGACGUCUGCUUCACUCUACCUGAAUCAUACUGGAGGCUGCAGGAUAGCAUGAUGGGUCGAAGAUCCUACCUCUCUGUGUUACUCCUUGCAGCGUGUUGCCUGGCAUCUGCAGGGCCUUUGUCAUACACCCCAUGUAAGCUGCAGCCUGUGGGGAUGGGACAUCCCGUGCAAGCAAGCCUGAAAAACUUCACAGCGUUGUCAGGAUGUGCAAGCAAGGGCACUGCCAAGCUGUCUCAGGAGGUUCACAUCGUUAACCUGAGAGGACAUGCUCCAGAAGGAGCAGGCAACACCUCAGUCAAGGUUGAGCUGGAUUUAAAGCCCAUCCACUCCAUGCAACAUCACCAGAAACCCCUGGUCUUUGUGCUCAACUCCCACCAAAGAGUGACCUGGAAUGUCAAGGCAGAAAACCUGGCUCUGAACAUCAAACAUAUUUUUUAUGUAUCACAAGGUUCGGAGGUCUACUUCAAGACAGAAAACUUCUCUCUCUCCAUUGAUAUAUUCCAUGAAACCCUUCCCCGUGGCAAUGAGCACCUCCUCGAAUGGGCGCAGAGGAAGUACCAUGCAGUCACCUCUUUCUCUGAGCUCAGGAUGACUAAAGCUAUUUUCAUCAGAGUUGGUGAAGAUUCAGAGUUUUCUGACACCUGCAAGAUUGACACCAAGUUCUUCUCUUUAAACUACAUGGGCAGCUUCUAUGACCUGCAGCCGUCCAAUGGCUGUAUCCUGUCUGUGCCAGGGAGAGGCAGAGAAGUCCACAUCAUUGAGCUUCAAAGAACGAACUCCAGCAGUGGUCUCCAGGUGGAUGUCAUUGUGGAUUUGGGGCCUUCAGAAGGCAAUAGCCAUGUGUCCAGGGACGUAGUCCUGGUGCUGAAAUGCACUCAGCCCGUAAAGUGGGUUGUCAAACCUCACAGUGUAAUAGGGAAACUGGAAGUUGUGGCCUCUGAUGCUGUGUGUGAAAGAUCCCACAUGUUCCCACAUGAGUCAACGGUCUCCAAACAGAACUUGCCAACAGGGUUCCAGGCUUUGAUCAGGUGGGCUCAGGAGCAGGGUUACGGCCCAGUGACUUCUUACACCAGCACCGCUGUGGCCAACCAUUUCAGUAUCACUCUGAAAGAGCCAGAAGCUGUGAGUUCUGUGGAGAGAAGAUCCUCACUUGAGCAUCUUGGAGAAGAUUCUGGACCCUUUUCCUCUUCAUUUUUUCCUCACUUUUCUGAAGGUCCGCCCUUCCCGUUGCCUGGUCAGAGCGAACAGCCUGACCCACAGGUUUUAGAUGUUGCUCAUACAGUUCUGUGUGAGGACAAAAGAAUGGUGGUCAGUAUCGAAAAGGAGAAGCUGAAAGAAAAAGGGUUCAAUAAUGCCGUCGUGGCGUUUUCAGAUCCCAGCUGUAAAGCAACAACCAAUGCAACUCACUACAUUCUGGAAACUCCUUUUAAUGGCUGUCAAACCAUUGAAUUUCCCAUGCACGAUAGUGCAAUGCCUAUGUAUAUCAACUCUGUUUUUGUAGAUCCUGGUGAGAUAAACAACAGGCCACAAGAUCACAAAGCAGAAGAUUGGUUAGGUCUGUUGUCAGUUGAAAAUCAGCGACACUAUAUAGCGGUCAACUGCACUAACAGGAAUGAGCCGGAAACACUGACAAGAACUUUGCCAAAACAAGACUUGCAACCACUAAGCGACAUUACUUUCAAGAUUGAGUUGUAUGAUACGAAUCUCUUCAACAGUCCUUUGCGCCAGGCCUUCUACACAGUUUCACAAAACCAGACCGUGUUUGUGGAGGUGACUUCAUCUGAAUAUCAUCCGGAUGUAAGCUUCAUUAUCACAUCGUGCCGAAUUUCUCCUCACUCCGACCCCAAAAUGGACUUCGACUACAAACUCAUCGAGACAUUUUGCCCAACGGACGACUCUGUCACCUUCCUGCCUCCUCGUCCCUCUGCAGGGAUGGAGAAUAAACGCUUUAGUUUCUUCUUCUCCUCAACAUUCAACAGACAUUUGCUCUUCUUGCACUGCGAACUUUCUUUAUGCUCCAAGACAACUAAAGGGAGCCAGCAACUGCCACUGUGCCUGAAACCCGAUGAGGUCUGUUCCUUAUCGUUGGACAAAAUCUUGCAGUUGAUGAUGAACACCAAGGCGUCCGUGAAGACUUUGGUUGUUAUUGAUCAACCAGAUCAACCGAUCAGUUCUGUACCUGAGCCUCCAGUUGACUCUACAAAAGACAGGAGUCCAGAAAACCCUAAAAUCGUUUACGUGCUGGACACUCCAACUGUGGCAGGGAUUGCCUUUGCAGCGUUUGUGAUUGGGGUUCUGUUGACUGGAGCUCUGUGGUUUAUUUACACCCACACAGUUCUGCGCUGCUGCGAGUCUACCGAACUACCCCACCCCCUCUGCGGAGCGCAUUGAGCGCCACCACAUAUUGACCAGAGACGCAGUCAUGUGCAGCUUAGAGAGAAAAAUAAAGUGAGAAACCUGCGGCGCCGCCGGCCCAGAAGUCACUUCCCGCCUCUGAGAACAGCAGCACGGCUCACAGUAUUGGCAGCACACAGAGCACGCCAUGCUCCAGCAGCAGCACAGCGUAGUCCAAGAUGUGCUUGUCCUGAAGAGCUCAGGACAAACCCUGGGCUUCACAGUGACUGGUUUGUUUUUCAAAAAUCAUGAAAGCGAAAAAGUAAACACCUGUUAUUAAAAAAAAAAUACAUAUAUAUAUAUCUGCAUCCAAAGUGCAGAAAAAAGCAUGCAAAAAAGGAAAAACUGUUUUUUUAUAAGAGUCUAUCAGAUGUGCAGGCAUGUGAAAAUUCUGGAAAAUGGUUUAUAUUAGUUUUCUUCAUAUCCAAAUGCUGCUUUGAUAUUGACAGUAUCACAUAGUUUGGGUUUGUUUUGCCAAUGCUUAGUUUGUGGAGCACCUGGCACGUGUACUUUAGCUGUGAGCAAAUGCAACGACGAGGCGCCGAUGGCUGGCCCGUAACGUGUUGCUUAAACUCAAGCAAACCAGGAAAAAGGCAGGGGGUGGGGGCAAACUGAACCACUAUAAAAGAGAGGACAGAAGUGCAGUAGAAACACAAGUCUGUAGCUAUGGUUAAAUAAAUGGCUCAAAAUGAUGAUUACGUGUAGAACGGAAGAGGGAAAAGGGAAAAAAAAAUGUGAAAGAAAAAUGUGAAAAAUGUGCAGGAAAACCCUACAAGUCAUAUGAACACAUGAUGGAUUCAUGCCUGAUGUUGUUGGCGGUUAUUUCUUUAGUCUGAUGGUGUUAAAAGGCUUCAGACCUGUACUUUUUCUCAUGCUCAAGCGCCACUAGUAAACUUUUCAAGGGGGGAAGCAGCUUCUACAGAGCUCUGUAAAGUGGAUCAUGACAAAUGUGUCUUCACAGGGGGAUACUUUCAAAGGAAUUCCACCUAAUAUUAGCUUUGGACACAUACUCCUAUUUAUGACGCUGUACGCGUUACCGUCUACCACUUUAAACCCAGAAAAGCUUUUAAAAGGAGAAAUGUUUUAAAAAAAAAAAGGUUGAGUGAUUUUUUCAACAUUAGUAAAUUUAAACUUGCAAUGAGGAGUGGUAGCACCUUUGAAGCUGAAGCUGAGUUUCCAUCUGAAGCCAUACAGACUCCUUCAAGCCGCUAAAAAAUGUAGAUUUUAUUAAUAAUAUUCCAUUAGUAAUGGGCUCUUUCUGUGGAAAGCUGUUUAUCUCCUUAAGUCACUCAGACUACUGGAUUUUUGGACCAUAAAGCACACCGAUUUUUAAGGCAAUCAUAAAAGACAAUCUUAUAAUGCAACUCCACUACCCAGCAUGCUUAGAGGAACCAAGAAGCAGCGGGCGAUUGGUCAGUAGGGUUAAGGGGAAGUUUUCUGCAGUGAGCAGCCUAAAGUUCAACUUUAUUGAUAACUCCUGACUACAGUAAUACCCAUAAUACCCAAAGUCAUACUAAAACAUUUUGACCCACCUUUGAGCACCUUGUACCACAGAAAAUCAGUUUAAGGUCAUUCAGCACAACCAGGAUACACACAAAACGUCAAUAUUUGAGAAAAUAAACGAUUUUAAGUGCGUAUUGUGGUCCAAAAUAUACAGUACUCUAAGUGCACAGACAUGAGAUGUUUCUCUUUUUAUGCAAUGUUAGGAAUUGGGUUUAUUUUCUCUAAAAUGUCUUGUUUUUUAAGUCGUGUAAAUAGUGUAAAAAGUUGUAGCGAGGCAGGUUUUGUUCAAUUUUACUUGUUGUAUUGAUUAGCGGAACAAGUUCGUUGAGGAUUUUCAAUGUUUUAAAUAGAAGACAGUUGGCUUCAGAGCACAAUGGCCAGGUUUCAAACACACAAACCCAAAAUACUGUCCUGCCAUCUGUCCUGGAACAAAUUCUGAAAAAAAAGAGUGAAGGUUUUCACCUCCAAAAGACAGCCACAGCUUUGAUAUCACCUGACGAUGAGCAGUCCAAAAGUAAUCGUACAAGAAUUUUUCUGGAUUUAAGCUAGCUGUCCUUGUCUUUUCUUGAAUAAUUUAGUUCAAGUUUUGCCACUUAAAGCAUGUUGAUUAAGCUGUCAUUGAUUUUAACGCUUUUUAACACUUUUUCUACAUAAACAAAACAAAACAGCAAAACCUAUAUUUUUGUCUGUGUUGGGGUCGGGGGGCUUAAAAGGAAAUGCUAUCUUGUUGCUAACAAAAGUCUAUCUGAAGAUUUAUAAAAACAAAACCCAAAAAAUGUAUUAUUUUCUCAAAAUGUUUUUAUGUUUUCUUUGUAUGAAACUUUCUACAGAGUAUAAAUAUAUAUUUGUUUAUAAAAUUAUAUUUUGGAAUAUAUUUACUAUAGAAAAUGUACUUUGCUUUUGUGUGAGUACUGUGAAUUGUGGAUUUGCUUAAACAUAUGUUUUUUGGGAUAUUGUGUGCGGAAUAUUCCUAAAAAGUCACAAGUCGGCCUUUGAAACACAGAUUAAAGUUGAAUUUGAACCACCCCAGUAAAAUAGAGAGAGAAGGUACAUAUAAACUUUCUGUUUUUACAAAAGCGACCUUCUAAUAAAGCCUAUUGAUAGAAAUAAUGCACCAUCAGCCCAUUUGGUCAAAGUUUAUAGGAAACAACUUGUCCUGUGAAAUGUGGAUGGGAUGUUUCUGCUCCACACAGGACAGUCAAUUUUAUGACACCUUAAAUGCAAAGUAGCUGUGAAGUUAAAUGUUAUACCAGCUAACUAAAUAUAAAACAUUGUGGAUUUAAAGACCAGACUUGUGACAAGGAUUCUACGUUUUGUUCAUUUUUUGUUUUCACAUGUUAGCGUCAAAGAAAAAGUGAGCAUUCACAAAGCAUGUUCAUAAGUAUUUAGGACCUCAGUAAACAACAUCAACUUCUUGUUGCCACUUCAGCUGAAACUUGUGAAAUGUGUGAGGAUGUAUGAAGAUUAACACAAAGAAUAGAUAUCUGCUUAAAUAACCGUGAACAUGAAUGUUUAAAUGAGAUACAAACUUCUAGUUGUCACAGGAGAAAGAAAGGCGACCCUUAUUGCGUUCUUAGCGGUCUCAGGACAUGUGAGGCAUUUCUCUGGUCCCUAAAGGUUUUGUAAAUAUAGAGAUGAACUCAUAAACCAAACAAAAAACAGAGACAAAAAAUGGAUUAGAUUAUAUUCAACGUUAUUGACAUUAUAAAUGUACAGUGUUGUUUGGCAAAAGUUAACUGAAACCAAGCUGUCCAGUCGUCGGUUUUCAGUGUCCAGUCACUAUGGCUAACUCACUUCCUUUUGACCAUUCAUAUUCUAUAGUUAACAUCAAUGAUCAUCAGUGAAUACGUGUCCAUGGUUUGACCUGAUUUCUUGCACUAAUGCUACAAUUAUGGUCAACAUUGACUUCAGAACAGCAACUUUUAGAAGUUAGCAUAUAAAACCAUUACCUUGUCUUCUUUCCAGUUUUUUCUUUAUUUUCAGUAACUAAUGAUAAAUUAACAGGAUGUUGCUUCUUCCUGCACUUCAUUUUUGUCUCUUGUUUUUCAUCUAACAUUGUUUUUAUUCUAAAGUAUGACCUGCUAAGGAUACAAAAAGGAUGUUUUUCUUUUCACUGUUAUCACAGCCUAAACUCCUUAAUAAAAAAAGGAUUGAAGUCCCACUCCGAUCAUCUUUUGAUGUGUUUAAAUGAAAUCCCAUUGAUCUUUUACUUAUAAUUAUGCCAUCUUUAGCCAAAAUUUAAAAAACCUGUGUUGUUUUCUAGGACAUAAUUUCUGCACAGCAGACUUUCAUUCGAAAUUUGUCUCUAAACUGUGGGCGGGACUGUUGUCACGGAGCAACCCCACCCCCACUCCCCCUCCCAGCAGGGUGCUUGUGAUCUGUCCAGCAUAAUUUCUGUUCCUGAUCUACAAUGAUUUCAGUAAAGAAAUCCACAGAAAUGUAAUUUUCUUUAUAUAUGUCCUCAAUCAUGAAAAAAAAGCCACAAAAACAUGUUAACAACACCAAAAACACAUUUUGUAUCGGAGUGGGUCUUUAAAGCUGUUGGGAGAGUCACAGUUUGUUUUGUAAAAUGUGACAAAUCCAUAUCCUACAUGCAUCUGUAAUUAUCAUCCUCUGUUGCUGUUCUGGCUCCUUUUUUUUUUUCUGGAUCCAGUCCGUGUUCAGAUAGGAUUAGUAUUUUUAUGCAAAACAGUCAUUAGUAUUCCCAGAGGUUCAAAUAUCCUCUUGUUUGUCCCCUUCUUGCCUCAGUGCAUGCUGGGAAAAGUGCCAUGUUCGUCUGAUGAUAACAGACAGACAUGGAUGAAGUGAUUCUCACAAAGAGUGCCUUGUUUGCUGAAAGUAUGCAGAGCUUCUCCUGCUAAAUGUUUCCCAAUUUCUUUUUCAACAGCUGUAACUGGAGCAUAAGUCUUUCAAAGGAAUUAUUGAUUGUAAUUUGUUUUCCUUGUUUUUUUUUAUCAUUUGACUACCUCAUGUAUUUAAAUGAAUGUGCAAUUUUUGUGUCUGCAUUUGUGCUUCAGAUGACAACAGUUUUGUGAUUUAUGAAGCCGUGAUGUGUUAAAGCUGAAUGUAUUAGCCUUUCUUCCGCUCCUGAAACUUUUGUAUUGCUGUAAAUAUGGAGAAUGGUUGUAUAUUCAUUAUGAUGAAUACAUUUUUCAUUUAGUCAAAA